AUAAAAUUUGAUCUCGUAAUGUAGCUAUAUAUUACGUACGUAUCAUCUAGCCACGAGCAGUCACUUAGUUUACCGUAAAACCUUCCACUGUGCAUCAUUAUAUUGAAGAAGUCAACUGACCAAGCCACGAGCAGUCACUUAGUUUACCGUAAAACCUUCCACUGUGCAUCAUUAUAUUGAAGAAGUCAAUUGACCAAGGAACAACGAAAUGAAGUGUAUGACGUAUGUUAUCAUUUUGCUUGCUGUUUUUCAUUGUUC
Molecule: long non-coding RNA, 258 nt
Organism: Xenia sp. Carnegie-2017
Lineage: Eukaryota; Metazoa; Cnidaria; Anthozoa; Malacalcyonacea; Xeniidae
Exons: 3
Source: RefSeq, a predicted model, not a curated record